GAUGAACGCUGGCGGCGUGCUUAACACAUGCAAGUCGAACGGGAAAUAUUUCAUUGAGACUUCGGUGGAUUUGAUUUAUUUCUAGUGGCGGACGGGUGAGUAACGCGUGGGUAACCUGCCUUAUACAGGGGGAUAACAGUCAGAAAUGGCUGCUAAUACCGCAUAAGCGCACAGAGCUGCAUGGCUCAGUGUGAAAAACUCCGGUGGUAUAAGAUGGACCCGCGUUGGAUUAGCUUGUUGGUGGGGUAACGGCCCACCAAGGCGACGAUCCAUAGCCGGCCUGAGAGGGUGAACGGCCACAUUGGGACUGAGACACGGCCCAGACUCCUACGGGAGGCAGCAGUGGGGAAUAUUGCACAAUGGGGGAAACCCUGAUGCAGCGACGCCGCGUGAAGGAAGAAGUAUCUCGGUAUGUAAACUUCUAUCAGCAGGGAAGAUAGUGACGGU
RNAcentral lists this ribosomal RNA (447 nucleotides) under uncultured bacterium. RNAcentral's name for it is "bacterial SSU rRNA". It matches the Rfam family "Bacterial small subunit ribosomal RNA", at positions 28 to 458 of the family's 1533-position model. The record is from RNAcentral.